ACGGGAGGCAGCAGUGGGGAAUAUUGGACAAUGGGGGAAACCCUGAUCCAGCGACGCCGCGUGAGUGAAGAAGUAUUUCGGUAUGUAAAGCUCUAUCAGCAAGGAAGAAAAUGACGGUACUUGACUAAGAAGCCCCGGCUAACUACGUGCCAGCAGCCGCGGUAAUACGUAGGGGGCAAGCGUUAUCCGGAUUUACUGGGUGUAAAGGGAGCGUAGACGGCAUAGCAAGUCUGAAGUGAAAUGCAUGGGCUCAACCCAUGAACUGCUUUGGAAACUGUUAAGCUAGAGUGCAGGAGAGGUAAGUGGAAUUCCUAGUGUAGCGGUGAAAUGCGUAGGUAUUAGGAGGAACACCAGUGGCGAAGGCGGCUUACUGGACUGUAACUGACGUUGAGGCUCGAAAGCGUGGGGAGCAAACAGGAUUAGAUACCCUGGUA
This 434-nucleotide ribosomal RNA is filed under the name uncultured Lachnospiraceae bacterium. Its description in RNAcentral is "bacterial SSU rRNA". It matches the Rfam family "Bacterial small subunit ribosomal RNA", at positions 341 to 792 of the family's 1533-position model. Lineage: Bacteria; Bacillati; Bacillota; Clostridia; Lachnospirales; Lachnospiraceae. The record is from RNAcentral.